GUACCAGCUGGCACCUGUGCCUGAGAAAAUCGCGCUCAAGCAGCAUCUUUGUUUAGCAUCGGAGCACUGCGGAGGUAAUUACUGCCGGUUAGAAAAACGGAGGAGCCGGUAACUGAAACCCCCGGCCCCUCGGCUUAUCAAACUCCCAGGUUACAAGUGCGAUUUCCAGCCAGGUUUGGAGGCCGCCUCCCACAAAGCUGCCAGUCUGUGACUUUAGAUUCGACAGCUUGGAACCAGUUCCCCGGAGGCUCCGUUCCAGGUAUCCUCUUAGCUCAGAGGUCAGACUAGGAUCAGAGAUAAAAUGUCAUCACGAAAAUUUUUCUAAUCGCCAAAGCAGUGCUACUUUAAAAACUAGAACCAUCCUUUUUAUCUGGAAUUAAGCCGGUGGAAUAAGGGGAAGGGGACUUUGGUCUUCAAAUAACAAUAAUUGCCUCCACGGUUAGUUGUUGAGCUCUUUUUAUGUGUCAGACGCUAUGGAAGCACUUUGAUGAAUUCUCUAAGUCUUCACAGCCUUAAAAGGAAGACACUUACCACACCAUUUGAUAGAUACAAGACUGAGCCUUAGAGAAGCCUGCGAGGGUCCACAGUGUUACUACAAGCUCACCAGCCCUGCCCAUGUCUGGAAGGGAAUCAUCCUGAUCCAGGGAUCAAACCCACGUCUCCUGCAUUGGCAGGCGAAUUCUUUACCAGUGAACCACCUGGGAAGCCCCGAGGAGAGGAGAUGGCCAUGAGCACCAGAAGCCCACCAAAGAGCAAGUUGAAUGAAGAACACACAUCCUGAUUUUCUGCAGCCAACACAGGUCCUUUGCUGAAGCUGGAGAUGUAGCGCAGAGAGGCUGGUUCUCCAGACACACAUUCUCCCCACUCAUAUCCUCCUUCAGCUGAGAAAACCCUGCAGAUCCCCC
Molecule: long non-coding RNA, 905 nt
Organism: Bos taurus (domestic cattle)
Lineage: Eukaryota; Metazoa; Chordata; Mammalia; Artiodactyla; Bovidae
Source: Ensembl